Molecule: ribosomal RNA, 680 nt
Filed under: Lactobacillus amylovorus
Lineage: Bacteria; Bacillati; Bacillota; Bacilli; Lactobacillales; Lactobacillaceae
Description: bacterial SSU rRNA
Rfam family: Bacterial small subunit ribosomal RNA
Source: RNAcentral
GCAGUCGAGCGAGCGGAACAACAGAUUUACUUCGGUAAUGACGUUGGGAAAGCGAGCGGCGGAUGGGUGAGUAACACGUGGGGAACCUGCCCCUAAGUCUGGGAUACCAUUUGGAAACAGGUGCUAAUACCGGAUAAUAAAGCAGAUCGCAUGAUCAGCUUUUGAAAGGCGGCGUAAGCUGUCGCUAAGGGAUGGCCCCGCGGUGCAUUAGCUAGUUGGUAAGGUAACGGCUUACCAAGGCGACGAUGCAUAGCCGAGUUGAGAGACUGAUCGGCCACAUUGGGACUGAGACACGGCCCAAACUCCUACGGGAGGCAGCAGUAGGGAAUCUUCCACAAUGGACGCAAGUCUGAUGGAGCAACGCCGCGUGAGUGAAGAAGGUUUUCGGAUCGUAAAGCUCUGUUGUUGGUGAAGAAGGAUAGAGGUAGUAACUGGCCUUUAUUUGACGGUAAUCAACCAGAAAGUCACGGCUAACUACGUGCCAGCAGCCGCGGUAAUACGUAGGUGGCAAGCGUUGUCCGGAUUUAUUGGGCGUAAAGCGAGCGCAGGCGGAAAAAUAAGUCUAAUGUGAAAGCCCUCGGCUUAACCGAGGAACUGCAUCGGAAACUGUUUUUCUUGAGUGCAGAAGAGGAGAGUGGAACUCCAUGUGUAGCGGUGGAAUGCGUAGAUAUAUGGAAGAA